This is a non-coding RNA of Phrynosoma platyrhinos (Desert horned lizard), 72 nucleotides long. The record is from the annotation of a GenBank genome assembly. NCBI's taxonomy places the organism in Eukaryota, Metazoa, Chordata, Lepidosauria, Squamata, Phrynosomatidae.
GUCAGUGUAGUGCAGUGGUUUGAACAUUGGAUUACAACUCUGGAGGCUAGGAUUCAAUUCGCUGCUCAGCCA